UACGUAGGGAGCAAGCGUUGUCCGGAUUUAUUGGGCGUAAAGAGCGUGUAGGCGGCCAGGUAGGUCUGCUGUGAAAACUCGAGGCUCAACCUCGAGACGUCGGCGGAAACCAUCUGGCUAGAGCCCGGAAGAGGAGAGUGGAAUUCCUGGUGUAGCGGUGAAAUGCGCAGAUAUCAGGAAGAACACCCGUGGCGAAGGCGGCUCUCUGGGACGGUACUGACGCUGAGACGCGAAAGCGUGGGGAGCGAACAGG
This 253-nucleotide ribosomal RNA is filed under the name uncultured bacterium. RNAcentral describes it as "partial 16S ribosomal RNA". It matches the Rfam family "Bacterial small subunit ribosomal RNA", at positions 524 to 776 of the family's 1533-position model. The record is from RNAcentral.